UACGAAGGGUGCAAACGUUGCUCGGAAUUAUUGGGCGUAAAGCGCACGUAGGCGGCUUGGCAAGUCGGAUGUGAAAUCCCUCGGCUCAACCAAGGAAGUGCAUCCGAAACUGCUGAGCUUGAGUACUUAAGAGGAUCGCGGAAUUCCCGGUGUAGAGGUGAAAUUCGUAGAUAUCGGGAGGAGCACCAGUGGCGAAGGCGGCGAUCUGGGAAGAUACUGACGCUGAGGUGCGAAAGCGUGGGGAGCAAACAGG
This 253-nucleotide ribosomal RNA is filed under the name uncultured bacterium. Its description in RNAcentral is "partial 16S ribosomal RNA". It matches the Rfam family "Bacterial small subunit ribosomal RNA", at positions 524 to 776 of the family's 1533-position model. The record is from RNAcentral.